AACUGUACAGUACGUGCAAUGGUUGUGAAUAAGAAGGUAAAGCCAACGUGCCCAUAUACAGAUGCCGACUAUAAAGUACAAUAAACCUGUAAUGCAAGUUUUUCUUAUAGUAUGGGAAACAGACAAGAUUGAAUAAAUCAUGGCUAGGAGCAAGAGAAGGCCAACAUCAUAGAGUGCAACUAUGUCAAUGUGUCUGGACCUAGAAUCUGUAAAAUGAGAUUCAGAAAUAUAAACCACCGAUUCAUUGUCUUCCAUCACGGUGAUCGGUCGGAUCGGGUGUGUCCAGAUAUCUGUGACUAAAGCAUCAAACCAAGUUAGAGAAUUACAUGCAUCUGAAACACAAGCAUAUUCAGCUUCAGUAGAUGAACAAGAAACAAAAUUCUGUUUACGUACUUGCCAAUAAACAGGACAUCCAUUUAAGAACA
Non-coding RNA from Pantherophis guttatus, 425 nucleotides. The record is from RefSeq and is a predicted model, not a curated record. NCBI's taxonomy places the organism in Eukaryota, Metazoa, Chordata, Lepidosauria, Squamata, Colubridae.